Molecule: non-coding RNA, 411 nt
Organism: Ciona intestinalis (vase tunicate)
Lineage: Eukaryota; Metazoa; Chordata; Ascidiacea; Phlebobranchia; Cionidae
Source: RefSeq, a predicted model, not a curated record
UGGCUAAAGAAAUAGGUAAUGGGUCUGUUGUGUAUACAGCCUACAGGAAUGCAGCCUUAAUAAGUUAAACCAGUGUUUGGCACUGGACUAGCAGCCCUCAGUUUUGAAGGUUGGCUGUUUUAAAAGUGUAGUGCUGUUUCCCAAGUUCAAUCAGUGUAUUUUUUGGGUCUUCAAUAAGAUGUAUCAUGUGAAGAUGCCUUUCGUUUAAAAUUUUUUUGUUAUGUGCUUUGGAGCGUUACACGUAUGCAUGCAACAAUGAUGUUCAAGAGGUGACGAGAGCUCCAACGACAAAAUGAAUAAAUCAAUCAUAAACUGCCAUCAACGAAGAUCAUCAGAUAUUAGUCCAUUGCACCAAAGUAUUUUGCACUCUGAUGAUUUGUUUCACUGCCUGUCAACUGUUGGAGUCUCCAG